Molecule: ribosomal RNA, 573 nt
Filed under: Triticum aestivum (bread wheat)
Lineage: Eukaryota; Viridiplantae; Streptophyta; Magnoliopsida; Poales; Poaceae
Description: partial small subunit ribosomal RNA
Source: RNAcentral
AUGUCACAUUUGCUCUUCCUUGUGUUGCUAAGGACACUGAUGGGUGGGGUUUGCUUACAGCGCAGGACCGAUAAUUCUGAUAGUAUGCCAAGGACUGCUCAGGGUUCCUACCACUUUCUGUUUUACCAACUAAGUAUUUUCCCGACUCUGAAAUUUGGUGAUAAAGAAAAGAAUCCAGGGUGGAUGGAGGGUUUCAUGAUGGCUAAUUUGAUUUGUUAUGGUUCUGAUGGUGUGCUUCUUGUGUUUGAACUGAAGCCGUGGAUCACUCAUCAACCUGGUCUGUGUUUGUAUGGUCAGCUACCAGAACUUCCUGCUGCUGAUCCUGGGAUGUUUCCGAACAUGCUCCCGAACAUGCUCAAUCUAUCCGCCCUAGGACAGGUUACUCGGCAUGCUCGGUGUGUUUACUUCGGUGGACUUCCUCCGAUCGCUAAUGAACAGGCAUGCAAGGAACUUCGUGAUUUCUUUCUCAAGCUGUAUGAGGUGAUUCAGUAUGGUUUCUUUGUCUCCGUUGGCAAUUCGAGCGUCUUCGACCGCUUGGAGUCAAAUUCUUUAUCGACUCCAGCAUUGGGCUAA